GGGCGCAGGACCCAAGCUUGAGCCCAAUACAAAUUCGGAAAUACAAGGUGCCAAUAGAAAGAAUAUUGGGCCUAAGGGGAGUUACCGAGCCCAAAAAAAUUGAGAGUGAACGAGGGACUCAACUUCACUAUUGAGCACGUGAUCCACAUUUUUUACAUUUUCAUGUGUUAUCGAUCUGAACCUAAGUCCACCACUGACCUCUCCCUCUCCAUUGCGCCAGAGCUCACCACCGGCGGUGGUGGAACCUCAAACAUCAAAACCAGAUGCAUCAUCCCACUCCAAAUUUCAAGCUCUACUCGAAUCUCAUACUGAAUUCAUUUGAAACAACCUAAAUUUCCUAGAUUGUGCAAGACAAACUAUGAACCCUAGCUACAAGAAAUUAAAUUAAAUGCUUGAAAUAAGGAAUCAAAGUCCAUGAUUUUUAGGGCUUUGAUUCCUCAACCCCUCCUCUACAUAGUGGUAACUAGCACGCAAUAAAUGGUGAAGAAAUCAACCUUACCUGCCGAAGAUGCGAAACUGAGAUCGGAGCAAACGCCAGUGUUUGAACAAGCUUCAGGGUUAUUGGCUUGGUAAUUAGACAUUCAAGGCAUGCCAAAAGGCUUGGCAAGUGAACCAUCAAGGCAUGGCAAGAAGAAAUACUUGGUGCAAAAGGUGGCUUUCUUGUUCAUGAAAAAAUUGAUCAUGGAAUCACAUGGUGAAGAAAUUAACCUUACCUGCUGAAGAUGCGAAGCUGAGAUCGGAGCAAACGCCGGUGUUUGAACAAGCUUCAUGUCAUGUAAUGGGCAUUAGGGUUAGGUAAUGUAAAAAUAGGUUAGUUGACUUUAGUCAACUAGUUAACCAAAAAGUCAACUUUUGUAAAAAAUGUAUCUUUUUUGUAUUUAUUUUAUAUGGACAAUGUAAAUGAUAAUUGAAUGAAUGAAUGGACAUUUAUUUUGAGUAGAAAUGAUUUAAAGA
Long non-coding RNA from Lathyrus oleraceus (garden pea), 954 nucleotides. RefSeq lists it as uncharacterized. The record is from RefSeq and is a predicted model, not a curated record. NCBI's taxonomy places the organism in Eukaryota, Viridiplantae, Streptophyta, Magnoliopsida, Fabales, Fabaceae. The transcript has 2 exons.